UUUUUUAAUUGAAAACUUGUAUGAAGGGUUGAACAAAAAAUUAGCUGUUUCAUAAAAAAUUUAUUAAAACUUUACUUUUUAGUCAAAAGGCUAAAAUAUAUUUAAAAGACGAGAAGACCCUAUAGAGUUUUAUAAAAUUAUUUAAUUUUUUUUAUAAAAAUUACUUUCAUUUAAAUUAAUUAUUUUAUUUUGUUGGGGUGACAAUAAAAUUUAAUACACUUUUAUUUUUAAAAAUCAUUUAUUUAUGAUAUAUUGAUCCAAUAUUAUUGAUUAAAAAUUUAAAUUACCUUAGGGAUAACAGCGUAAUCUUUUUUUAGAGAUCUUAUCAAUAAAAAUUUUUGC
This 342-nucleotide ribosomal RNA is filed under the name Diadocidia spinosula. Its description in RNAcentral is "partial 16S ribosomal RNA". The record is from RNAcentral. Lineage: Eukaryota; Metazoa; Arthropoda; Insecta; Diptera; Diadocidiidae.